This 109-nucleotide ribosomal RNA is filed under the name Enterobacter hormaechei. RNAcentral describes it as "partial 23S ribosomal RNA". It matches the Rfam family "Bacterial large subunit ribosomal RNA", at positions 2814 to 2925 of the family's 2925-position model. The record is from RNAcentral. RNAcentral also lists the same sequence under 1 other name. Lineage: Bacteria; Pseudomonadati; Pseudomonadota; Gammaproteobacteria; Enterobacterales; Enterobacteriaceae.
CUUGAGUCUCCUGAAGGAACGUUGAAGACGACGACGUUGAUAGGUCGGGUGUGUAAGCGCAGCGAUGCGUUGAGCUAACCGAUACUAAUGAACCGUGAGGCUUAACCUU